CAAUAUAAGUGAUGGCGACCGGCGCACGGGUGAGUAACACGUAUCCAACCUGCCGAUAACUCGGGGAUAGCCUUUCGAAAGAAAGAUUAAUACCCGAUGGUAUAAUAAAACCGCAUGGUUUAAUUAUUAAAGAAUUUCGGUUAUCGAUGGGGAUGCGUUCCAUUAGGCAGUUGGUAAGGCAACGGCUCACCAAACCUUCGAUGGAUAGGGGUUCUGAGAGGAAGGUCCCCCACAUUGGAACUGAGACACGGUCCAA
RNAcentral lists this ribosomal RNA (256 nucleotides) under uncultured bacterium. RNAcentral describes it as "partial 16S ribosomal RNA". It matches the Rfam family "Bacterial small subunit ribosomal RNA", at positions 74 to 334 of the family's 1533-position model. The record is from RNAcentral.